UACGUAGGGUGCGAGCGUUAAUCGGAAUUACUGGGCGUAAAGCGUGCGCAGGUGGUUGUGUAAGCCAGAUGUGAAAUCCCCGGGCUUAACCUGGGAAUGGCAUUUGGGACUGCAAGGCUCGAGUGCGGCAGAGGAGACUGGAAUUCCUGGUGUAGCAGUGAAAUGCGUAGAUAUCAGGAGGAACACCGAUGGCGAAGGCAGGUCUCUGGGCUGACACUGACGCUCAUGCACGAAAGCGUGGGGAGCAAACAGG
RNAcentral lists this ribosomal RNA (253 nucleotides) under uncultured bacterium. RNAcentral describes it as "partial 16S ribosomal RNA". It matches the Rfam family "Bacterial small subunit ribosomal RNA", at positions 524 to 776 of the family's 1533-position model. The record is from RNAcentral.